UCUCUCCCUCUCUCGCGUAAAGCGGGAACUACUCGAGAGAAACAGAAUCAAUGAAAUACUUAACAGCAGUGUACGGAGGAGAAAACUGGCUGAUCUAGACAUUCAAUGUGGACUGUGUUCUGUAAGGAGGAGAAAACUGGCUGAUCUAGACAUUCAAUGUGGACUGUGUUCUGUUCAUACCAGCACAUGCUUGCACAGCACCCCAGUUCCAUUUGAUUCUUUAGUAACUUGGCGGGAAAAGGUAGGUGCAGCCUGGAGCCCACACAAGCUCAGGGAUCGCCAGCCACAGGCUGCAGUCUGGCCGCUGAAUCCAGUUCUGAUGUAAAGUAAUUCAGGCUUCAAAAGAAGUCAAAAACCGAUGGUGUUUUCAAAUGUUACUGUAAGGACUAUAAUAUUGGCCAUAACACCUCUGACAACUGAGGAAUCUGGCAUUUUGUGUAGUAUGAGAAAAGGCUACAAAUCUCAAGAUGGUUUUAUUUAAGCCAAAAAGAAAGAAAAAGUCUGCGCAAGACACAUAUUUACAAUUUAUUAAAAACACAUUAAAAUCUAUUUAUACAAUCUAAAUUCUAGCCACAUAUACAGAUACCAAGUGACUACAGUACGUGCCGAGGUAAGAAAAGUACAUUCUGGGAGCCUCUCGCGCCACUCGCACUGUUUUCAUUUCCAACACGUGUUGCAAUACAGGUUUGUUUUCACCUUUCCCAGUGCCAAAAAAGGAGGAGGAGGAGAUGAAGAAGAAACUAGGCACAAGUUGGAUUAAACGAGAAGUGGUGCCACAGGUGACCUAAAAAGUGUUUUAAUAACCAUCCAACUCUUCGUUAGAUUUUGCAGUUCAGGGACUUCAAGCUCAGAACGAAAGACAGACCUAACAGGUAAUUUUUUUAGGUAGAGCUUCCUGGAUUUCUCUCAAGAGGGUUUAAAAAGCUUUCACUGUCCCACAUAAUCUGCUGGUUCUUUCUAACUGUAUCAUCGGACAUGGUGUUUCAGCAGCCCUCUUGCUCUCCAACUGACAGUGAAGUUCAAGCUUUAUCACUUUCCAGGGAAUUACGGCCAUGUUCGUAUUUAGAUGAGCUCAUUUUCUGCUCCCUCCUUAGGGGGAGGGCAAGUGUAUACACAACGUUGUAAUUUCAGUUACUGUAUAAAUUCUCUACUCGAACCGUUUCAUCAGCGAAUAAACCCACUGUUCAAUGCAAAGUGCAAAUAGUGAAACAGGAACUUAAAUAAUUGGACUAGACCCUGCACAUACACUAGGAUCUAUUUAGAUUUAUAGCUGUUAAUAAAAUAUAAAUCAGCAUUCACAAUAUCUUAUCUUAAACUGUGCUAGUUCCUAAGAUCAAGUAACAGCGAAGUCAGUGUGAUUUUAUGCAACCUGUAAGGGCCACACUUGCUGCACUGCUGUCUAUUUUUAUAAUUAACAGGAAAAUUUAAUCCAAUAAACCAGUGACUUAAGUCUUUUACAUGUUUCAAAGUAUAAAAAUUCAAAGGAAUUUUGUAAAAAAUGGUUACUUUCACAUUUUCAGUUGUUACUUGAUUGUCUCCAAAGCUGUACAUGUAUCAGACAUAUAAACGUAGUAAAAAACCCCAGAACUCUACUAUGAAAACAAAUGGACUAAAAGAAAAAGUACAAAACAAGAACAACCCUUUCUAUCAGGCUCAGCUCUUCACUUGGAAAGUAAAAUACAUAAAAGUAGUAAAAACUAGGUUUUGUAAAAAUCAUUGGUAGUUCAAGGACAGCACAGUGGCAAGCUGAAUCAAGUCUUAAAACAUGCAUCAUUCUUAAGAAAACACUGGCUUCUCAAACAGUUUGCUGGGAAAAACAAUCAGGUGCACACAAUUACACAACUAGAGCAAACAUCUUUGGGAAAAUGAAGUAGCCACUGAAAUCAUCUCUCUUAAAGCUUCAAACAGGCACAUGAUUUGAGGGAAAGCAUAUUUUCUGUGUGCUAAGGGUGAAUAAAAAAAUAAAGCAACUGGUUUACUCUCUUCCCACUGGAAAGGGGAUGACUACAUUAAUACAUGUGCUUACACGCUCAUAUAUGUUUUAUUACAAGUUCAACAUCUGUCCCUCUUGUUUCAAGUAUUUUGAAACAAAAUAGGUAUUGGUUUUUCAGUAAAUAAAAUUAUGCCUCAAAGUUGGUUGGGAAAAGAAAAGCAAAUGAAAAUAAGACCAAAAUCAUACAAGCAGAAGGCAGGGAGGCUGCAGAAAUAAACAGUUAUAACACUCACGGAAGCAAGCAGAAUGAACACCAUGCAUCUUUAGUCAAGUGUAGCGAAUUCUGGCAACGACAAUCUGGUGGCACAGGCCAAAAGAAAAGAACUAGGACCUGAUGGCAGAGCACAUUUCAACAUCAAGUCUACAGACCAAGGUUUACAGAAGAAGGCAUUUAUAC
Long non-coding RNA from Equus asinus (donkey), 2390 nucleotides. The record is from Ensembl. Lineage: Eukaryota; Metazoa; Chordata; Mammalia; Perissodactyla; Equidae.